Molecule: ribosomal RNA, 372 nt
Filed under: uncultured bacterium
Lineage: Bacteria
Description: bacterial SSU rRNA
Rfam family: Bacterial small subunit ribosomal RNA
Source: RNAcentral
UACGUAGGGUGCGAGCGUUAAUCGGAAUUACUGGGCGUAAAGCGUGCGCAGGCGGUUCUAUAAGACAGAUGUGAAAUCCCCGGGCUCAACCUGGGAAUGGCAUUUGUGACUGUAGAGCUAGAGUACGGUAGAGGGGGAUGGAAUUCCGCGUGUAGCAGUGAAAUGCGUAGAUAUGCGGAGGAACACCGAUGGCGAAGGCAAUCCCCUGGACCUGUACUGACGCUCAUGCACGAAAGCGUGGGGAGCAAACAGGAUUAGAUACCCUGGUAGUCCACGCCCUAAACGAUGUCAACUGGUUGUUGGGUGCAUUAGUACUCAGUAACGAAGCUAACGCGUGAAGUUGACCGCCUGGGGAGUACGGCCGCAAGGUUG